Molecule: long non-coding RNA, 2828 nt
Filed under: Marmota monax (woodchuck)
Lineage: Eukaryota; Metazoa; Chordata; Mammalia; Rodentia; Sciuridae
Source: RNAcentral
UGGGGUGGGGUGGGGCGUCCCAGAUAAUAAUAGAUAAUUUGUCGAAGACUUUACCAGCAUAAAUUCACUGAAUUUCCAUCACAGAUCAAGAAAACAGAUAAGGUCACUCCCAUUUUACAGGUGGGGAAACUGAGAAUCUAUGAGGAAAGUGUUAAAAAAAAAAAAGUGUCCAAUACACUACACAGCUAGUACAGUUGCCCACCACAAUUCUCCAGGACCUGCGCUUUAACCUGGGAGCCAAACCAUUGGCAGAGUGAGUCUCCUACCCCAGAAUGCUCAUGGGUUCCUUGGCUUUCCUUCCCCAGGGUCUGGGUUCCGUAUUCAGGUCCACGGAAGAGAUCGCGCAAGCCCCCUCCCACGGUGGGGGGUCGGACUUACAGCAGAGGAGAGAAAGAGGGUGCUGGGGAGUUCCCAAGAAAAGUCCUAAAGAGUGAUCCGACUGAAUGCGCAUUCACGCUGUCAGCUACGACUAUGCUUCUCUCCCGGCCCUACAGGGACAGGGAGCACCUGGGGCAUCCAGCGCCAGCCCUUGACUGUUACAUUUACUUGGCCUCCAGUCGGUCGUUUGUCCCAGUCCUAGCUGAGGUCUUAGAGUUCAUACAAGCUUUCCCGAAAGAAACAAGCUAAACACAGGACUUUUGGGGGGGGGACAUCGGUUCGUCUAUCAGAGGACGGAAAUCUAGACACCUGCGAAUGUGCUUUAAUUGGGGUAGAAGAUGAUUCUCCCUUGUCGUGACCAUACGUAGCUAAAAGUUCAAGUUAUUUUGAGUCCGGAGAAUACAGUUGGGGACACAGCCGGGAAUUAUCUCAUAGGUCCAAAGCUGUCAGAGAGCAUCCCGAAACUCACCCUUCGGCCCUUGUCCAUAGUCUAGGACCUUGAAAUCCCGCUUCCUCAAUAGAAGGCACUUCGGAGGUGGGAGAACAGAGCUUUCCAGCAGUUUGGAAAUUAGCAUCCCCUACAUAGCGCAAACUCUAGUAAAAGAAACUUGGGCCUGCGGAGUUUUGGAGAGGAACAGAGGAAUCGACCGGUUUAUUUACUUAGGAGAAGCGGGGGGUGGAGGAGGGAGGGCAAGUUUAGCAGGAGCGCUAGAGGUGACCGGGUGAAAAAAAAAAAUUGCGCUCGUAUUUCCUUUGAGGCACAACUCCCUAGAUAUUUCCCAACACUGAGCGCUGUCCGCCUUUGCUAUCUUUGUUUGAGAGAUGCUUAUGAUUCGAGUGUGCAAAUACGUUCCCAACGAAGGGUGGCUGCAUAUUUUGUGGGUCUGUACAGUCCGUGUGUGUGUGCUGGGAAGUGACAGCGUGCACUUAGCUGUUUGCGUGCGCUUGUGCUGGAGGAGGUAGAGGUACACACAAGCAAGAGCACACAUGUAUGUGGAUAGUGUGUGCGUGUGUCACGAGUCUAACUUGUGUAAGUGCAGUGCGUAUGGACAGAAGUACUGUCUGUUGUGCAACAGCAUCAUACACAUGUGUAGAACCUGAGUUCGUACGUGAUUCGUGUGCACAUUUGUGCGUGUGAAACCUAGCAAAGAACUCCUAAAAACUUAAGCCCGGCCAGAAGAAAGUUUAGCAGGCUGAAUGCUGCUGACUGAGGGGCCAAGGGCAGGCUGGUCCCUUGGUUUUGCAGGUGCGGGGAACCUCCUGUGGAGCGCAGAACGCUCUCAGAGUCUGCAGGUUAGCGCCCAGCUCAGCUCUUGGCCGGCAAGGCCGGUCCCCCUGUCGGCCAGCAAUUAGGAGGACUGAGAUCGCAAUAGUCCCUGCUGGACAGUUCCGAGCUCUUGAUCAUUUCUUGAGGACAGUUUCUGGUUAUUGAUGCGGUGUGUCCUAAAAGAAACCGCUUUAGGAUUAUUCGCUUGUGUAUUUAUUCUGUUUAACACUGUUAUUAUUUGGUGCCCGCGGUGAAGACGGUGCCAAACCUACCAAGAAGUCUCGGCCCCACCUCGGUGCGCAACUCUGAGCGCGUGAGAGAUCUGCGAAUGCCAGAAUCUUCUCUUAUGAUGGAGCCAUAGCGCCACCUAGUGUCUCCUAGCGUCCCCCGCGUUACCGCCACGAAGGUUGGGACCUUCCUACCGCUGAUUUCCCAUUCACUUUCACUAUUUCUCUUCGAGUAAGCCUGCAAACACACCUUGUGGCUGCCCCUUUGAACACCGCCAAAAUGCCCCUUUCUCCACCUGGCAAAGGGGAGAUGGAACUCAAAGGGCAUCUUUCAAACCCUUCUAAGGCUCAUGUCUGUCCCUAGUCCCUAAUACUCAUAUCACAUCGGACAAUAUUAUUUAAUAAAGAAAAUAUUGUUUUCUCUACAAGUUUUUAUUGUGACUUAUCCUACAUCAAUAAAAUCUAGUAUUUAUUUAGUGCAUAUUAUGGAGCAUCUUAUACAAUGUACUGCAUCAAACACCCUACUUCAAUAUUAUUUCCCAUUUUACAGAUGAAGAAACUGAAGCUAGAGAAAACAAGUGCCCAUCCAAGGUCCCAUUGCAGAACUUACCCCAAGCCUACCUGCCUGAUACCAGAACCCACUUUUCUCAACCUCUGUGUCUUAUAGACUUUUCAGCUCUUUAGUCACUGACUUUAUGACAGAACAAGGCAUAGAGUGGCCACUCACUCAUAUAUUUAUGAACAAAUGCACUAUUGCCUUUUUCAAUUUGAUCUUCUAGAGUUGGGCUGGGAAAAGCAUUGCAAUUAUCAGACACUUUGACUGAAAUGUCACCACAGUUUUUAAUUCCCCCAAAUAUUCCAAUCUUAAUUAGUUACUUCGCUUUGUCCACAAUUUCUUCAUCUGGAAAAAUAGGUUUACUGUGAGGUUAAGUGAGGGGGGAAAAAAAUUGAAGUGC